UACGGGGGGGGCAAGCGCUGUUCGGAAUUACUGGGCGUAAAGGGCGCGUAGGCGGCUUUAUAAGUCGGGGGUGAAAGCCUGUGGCUCAACCACAGAAUUGCCUUCGAUACUGUAGAGCUUGAGACCGGAAGAGGUAAGUGGAACUGCGAGUGUAGAGGUGAAAUUCGUAGAUAUUCGCAAGAACACCAGUGGCGAAGGCGGCUUACUGGUCCGGUUCUGACGCUGAGGCGCGAAAGCGUGGGGAGCAAACAGG
This 253-nucleotide ribosomal RNA is filed under the name uncultured bacterium. RNAcentral describes it as "partial 16S ribosomal RNA". It matches the Rfam family "Bacterial small subunit ribosomal RNA", at positions 524 to 776 of the family's 1533-position model. The record is from RNAcentral.